Bombus impatiens (common eastern bumble bee) is the source of this 1841-nucleotide long non-coding RNA. RefSeq lists it as uncharacterized. The record is from RefSeq and is a predicted model, not a curated record. The transcript is spliced from 2 exons. Lineage: Eukaryota; Metazoa; Arthropoda; Insecta; Hymenoptera; Apidae.
GAACGAUUAUAAAAAUAAAAAAAAUAAAAAGAAAGUAUAAAAUUUAUCAUUUUUCGUAAAACAUCGAUAGAAAACGAUAUUGACAUAAUGGAUUACUUUCAUAGGACAGCCACAGCUGGUAAGAUUGAAAUAACACGUUCCGUGUACGAAGAAGAUGUAAAAAAUGUAGAAUAAAGGUUAGACAUCUUCUCGUGCGAACGCCUAAACGCCUUAAGUCUUUCAUAAACAAUUGACAGAUAAAAGUAAAUUUUCUCCGAAGAAAGAAGGCAAAUAUUGAACUUCCGUGACUAUGAAUGAGCUACAUUACAAAUUCUAUUUUCUUAUUCUGCCACGCGUUAAACAUAGGAAAAAUAUAUGAUUGCGAUGAAUGGGUACGAAGAAAUGCAAACCAAAUCCUAUUUCUAAGCCAAAAUAAACCAAGAUACAUACAUCGGACGUAAAUUUGAAACGUUACGUGUAACUGGUACCGAUUCAAUUUCGAUAUCUCGCUUCUCUUUCAGGAAAUAGCAAUCUUUUACUGGAACAGCGUUAUAAAUAAGCGUAAAUUGAGCAUUUUCCAGAAUGAACGAUCUAGCUGUUUCUUUAAGAUAGAAUUCCAAAAAUAGUUUAACAUAAAUACCAUAAUCCAGAUGAAAGAGCAGUGAAAAACCUGAAAUCAACCAUCUUCUAUCUCGCUACUAUCGCUAAUACUGUUCGCUACUAUAGUCAUUUCGUAAAACGCAAGUAAAAUAUCAAAGAUCUCCGCCGUACGUAUACAUCCAAAUUAUUAUCUAAUCGCCUCUAUUUUCCUGUUCGUGCCAAUGUAAACUCUGAAAACAUGUACCAUGGACCAUGCACCAUGGUACUUCUGAAGGAAACUAUAUUCGAUCCUUUUCCUUCUCUCCUAUCUCACUCUUUAAACGCAGAUAUAUCCUUAUCGUUAAAAUAACUUUUCAACGAAAGUAGUCGGGUUUAAAUUUAGCAUUGUCAUAGUACAGAAUGAUUCAUUCGAGGCUACGCACCCUCGCCCUCACGAAAACAAAAAUAGAGUCGAACUCGGAAGUGCUGUUUGGAAUCGAGCCACCCUGUACCUCCGCGUUUCGAUUCACAACACGGGACGGUCAGAAAAGUGACUCACGAGCCAGAUACGAUUAGGCAGACUCACCUUUCGUUCUUUUCGUCGGUUGCCCCGACCUUUAAGAAAAUUUCGCGAGAUAUUUAUAACUUGCGAGAUGCCUCGUAUUCCAGUAAAACGCGAUCUCCACGCCUGUUUCCCGUCAAACGUUUUAAAAUCGAGUCUCGUUACGUCAUAGCACCUCGUGUUACAGCGAGUAAAUAUUGAAAAUAUCUGACAAUAAUUGCGUUAUAACGAACCACAAGCUCUAUGCAUACAGUUACCGUUUUGCUAUUAAGUAAUUUACAUUAAUUCCCGAGAUGGUAUUGUAUAACGCAUUUGAGAUAACUCGUUUGUAUUGCUCGACACAUCGAAUCCAGCGUAUUCUACGACGUAUCCGGCGUGAUGAAUAUUGAACAACAACCGGCACAAAUAUUUUUCUUACAUGCAAAUUACCGAACCGAGCUGAACCGUCAUAAUCUCUUUAUUCAUUCGUUUUCCUUCUUUUAUCAUACUUCGAAAAAGUUUGUAAUUCGAUCACUAUUAAACAUAUAGAAUGUGUUGAAAAUUCGAAGUUCCAAGGAUAAACGAACAAACAAAUGUAAUGCCUACUUGAUAUUACUACAUCUUGCAAUUAUUCGUGUCACGUAAAGCCUCAAUCAUGUAAUUACUUUGAGCAACACUGCUGUUGUAGUACUUGACGAUUCGUUCAUUAAACGUAAUAAAAAUUAUCUUCAUUUGCUUGAAA